UUGUUAAAAAAAAAUUCGGGAAUCUUUAGGUUACGGUGUCUGUAUUUCAUGGAUAAAAUGGGUAUGGGCCGAUCUAGAGAAACAUCAAUAGAAAAUAUAUAGUUAUGGAAGCGAGGGGUCGGCUUUCGAAUAACGUCCCAGGAUUUCGGGAAUAAAAUGGGUAUGGUAAGAUAGAGGAGGUUCUCCAGAAAAAUAUUAGAAUUUUAUUAAUUUCAAUACCGACAAGGUUAUCCGUGAAAAAAUACGUACGGGGAAUGUUUAGUUUAGUAUCUCAUUUUGAAGAGGUUUUGCGCAAAGGGGGAGAGGGCGGGGGGCUUGCUAUCCCCCUCAUUUGAAAGGUAAUGAAUGAAACUUUUGAAUAAUACCACCCUUCCCCCCCUAGGACCCCGGGGGGCUCUAGGGCAGCCUCCUGAAAAUGGCGUAAAAUCGUAGUUUCUCCAUACAAUUUUCACUAAUUAUUAUAAAAUUUGUGUAUUUUACCGCAUAGAGUGACUCUAUGUUUAUUAUUUUUAUUAUUUCAAUGAAUUAAAGUGGAAAUCCACUUUAUUUAAAUAAUAAAAACACUGAAAAUUAAAAAUUGUAUAUGCAUCGGUAAUAAUGCAUACAAGUAGUUGAAGUACCGAGAUAACCCAACCAACCAUUUGUACAAGACCCCCUAAAUAAUAAAAUUGGGUUUUUAUCGCGCGAUCUUUUUUUUUUCAAAUUUUGAAUAUAUUUUCAGCAUAAAUCGCGCGAUUUUUUAUUCCAAAUUUUCGUUAUAUUUUCAAUAUAAUACAUAUAUUACAAUGAAACAAGCGCCGCAGGCGAAAAUUUGGAAUAAAAAAUCGGGGAAAUGUUUAGUAUCGCGCCGGUUUAGUAUCGUUUAUGGUGAAAAACAGGGGAGGGCUACCCCCCCUCACGCCCCCUUAUUGGAAAGAGGAAGGAUCGAACUUUUUAAUAAACCCCCCCUCGACCUCCUAGAGCCCCUAUAGACCCGUAGGGAGCCCUUUGAAAAUGACCAAAAAUCAGUGUUUUUGCUCAUUUUUCCAUACAAACUGAAACCAAUGCAACCCAGCCAACAUUUUUGUAUGGACAAGAAAUCAAAAUAAAGAAAACCAAAAUGUGUAGUACUACUUUUUGCGUUGGCGGCCUUCGGCCGCGCUCUAAAAAAAUAACCCUGGUCGAGCGAAUACCCGAGGUGACCGAUGUACUUUCGUGUAGUACUCCUUUCUGCGUUGGCGGCCUUCGGCCGCGCUCUAAAAAAAUAACCCUGGUCGGUCCAACACCGGGGUGUAUAAAUUUUUUUCGCAUAGAACUAUUUGCGUGGGCGGCCUUCGGCCGCGCUUCAAAAAAAAUAACCCUGGUCGGUCCAACACCCGGGUGUAUCAGAUUUUUUUCGCGUAGAACUCCUUUUUGCAUUGGCGGCCUUCGGCCGCGCUUCAAAAAAAAUAACCCUGGUCGGUCCAACACCGGCUACGCCAUCCACAGUAUUUUAGCAUUGAACACCUUUUCGCGUUCACUUCAUACAUUUAUUGCUAACUGGGCUUAAUUUAUUCCCUUUUGUUCGUGCUUUCUCGACAAUUUGACAGUUCAAAUUAGGCAGUCAUUUUGGUUUUUCGCAUUAUUGAACUCAAUGCAGAAAAAGGUGUAUUUUAUAUAAAGAUUUACAAGGAAAUUAACAAUCAAAAGUAAUUAAAAACAUUACUAGUGGUUUUUAUAAUUCAUAAGUUAUAUAUGUGCGUGAAAAUGUAUCCAUAAUUGGUUUGGCACAAUGCACAACAGAUGAAAAUACACUAGCAUAUAUUGAGAAAUUUGCAAAAAAUAGCAUUUUUUAAAGUGAAUUUUUGGAAAAACUUGUGAACCGAUUUUUAUAAAAUAUGUUUUAAAAUAAAGUUCGAUAAUUUAAGCAUACAUGCGUGUUUAAAAUUUUCAAUUUGGUUCUCUCGUUUAGGUACAGUGAGCCAAAAUUAACCGGCGCGAUACUAAACCCAACCCAAAAAUCGCGCGAUUUUUUAUUCCAAAUUUUCAUUAUAUUUUCAGUAUAAUAUAUUACAUUGAAACAACCGCCGCAGUAUAUAAGGCCUACCAUUUUGAUUCGUUGCGUUAUUACUAUCUUCCUUUUGUGCUUAUUUUCUUCGUCGUUUGACAGUUCAUAUUCAGUAAUUUUGCUUACAUUUCAAGGAACAAUAUAACACGUAAUUGAAAGCUGUUUUAUUUAUUAAAUUGUACAUAAAAUUGCAACUUAAAAUCCAUAAUUUAUCAUUAAUUCAAUUAAAUAUAUUUCAAAGAAUGUGUGUGUGUUAAAUUGGUUAAAUUUUUUGCAAGCAGUGCAACAAAAACUUCAAAAGAAGAGAGCCAUUGUUUGAGCAAAUGUGAAAAUGUGCGUUUUUUGCGUACUUAUAUCUAAAAAACAAAUUAACAUUUAACAAUAAAUUUACAUUUAAACAAAAGUUUAAUUCAUUGGCUAUCUGUGCUAUAUAAAUUUAAAAAAAUCCGUGCACGCAUUUAAGAGGAAUAAGCAGUGAAAAUGAGAUACUAAACUAAAUCCAACCCAUACGUACUUCAAAUAGUGGUAAUUUUCAACUUUAAGCGCAAAUAUCUUGAGAACUAUAAAUUUCGAGCGGCUAUAGCUACAGUGUACGACAAAACUAAAGCACGGAACCUACUUUGCCGGUUUUAAAUUAAUAAAAUUAUAUAAAAUAGGUAUAAAAUGAUUUUAGUUUUAUAGUUCAUUCAUUCUUCUUUUUGAAUUAGAAAAAAUUAAACAAAUUAACUUAUUAAAAAAAUUUAUGAAAUUCCAUGUAUGAAAAAUUCCAAAAAUCUGGUGCGACAAAACUAAAGCCCGAAAUAAUUUUAUGAUUGAAAAAUUUAUGUCUUUCAAUAUAAGUUUGGUAAACCCAAGGCAAUCAUAAUCGACAAUAAAUUCAGAGCAGAACAUAUAAAUAGCAAGCUUUUUAAGCAAAGACUCUUGCUAUAUAGAUGAAUAUGACACAUAAUAAAAUCCCUGAGAUUCAUUAAGGGGUACCUCAAAUACUAUUACCAAUCAUAUAGAGUAAAGUCCCCCGAAUAUUAUACGGGGAUAGGUCAAGUUCUAAGAUACACUGUUAUCAGUAAAACAUCCUAUCUCAUUUUCAUUGAGAAAACUUUGGUUAAAAUCAGACGAGCAGGCUCUGAGAUAUGACAUUUAACCUAAUAAUUGGCGGUUCCACGCCCAUUGUUGAAUUUUGUACCGGCUAUUAUAAAACCCUCUCAUAGCAUCUCGAGCGUAAAAUUAGUAUAAUCAGGGGUGUUGUGGAAUCUGAUAGUUGUCGGAAUCAGAAUUGAAACCGAUCAAAAAAAGCAGUAGGUGUCAUGAAUUCAGAUAUUAUUGGUUUGAUAUUCGAAACAGAAUUUGUAUCGGUUUUGGGUGUCACGGAAACCAAUUUUAUCGGUUUUGCUAGCAGAAACAAAUCAAGAAGAUAGUCGCACACAGAUUUGAAAUGGGAAAACAUAAGCAUAAAACACAAAAUGUCUCAAUUAUUGAAUUUUUGAAAAAAAAAAUGCAGAUAUUUAAGUGGGGAGCCUGCAUUAGAGGCUUGAAAUCGAUUUUUUGGGGCAUUUGUCGGACGACGGGCAGUAUGCAGAACACAAUUUCUAUUGGAAAAAAAAUUCAAACAGAUUACUUUUUGUUAAUAACUUAUGUUCUAUGUAGUGAAACUAAGAAAAUUUAAAAAAAAAAGUGUAAAAUUCUAAAAAAAAUUUAAAAUUUGAAAAAAAUGGUUUUUGACCAAACAAAUUUAACAUUAUGUUGUUUAAACAUAGGUUCAAACUUAACUUUUCUUAGUUUUUUUUGGUUAAGAUAAUAAACUUUGCCCCAAUUCCAUACGACGUCUAUCCUGCGCUCAUAUAUCUGCUUCUAAAGCAGGAAGAUUUACAAAACGUAAUUUAACACCCAAAUGCGUUUUUAUUCAUUUGAUAAAUGUUAUCUAUUAAAAUCUUUCUUUAAUUCGGAACUCAUUACAAACUUUAGUAUGAUUGCUUCCAAAUGUAUUCAUUUGCUAGUUUCGUCACAUUAGUAGACAGCUGAUUCGAAUAUUGGUUUUGCGUAUGUUCGAAAAGACAAAAUCCAAUCAGAUUCUGUGACACCAUUGAAAAUCAGAAUUGGUUUGCAAUUCUGACAGCUAAGCAAUUCUGUCUUGGAUUCCACAACACCCCUGAAUAUAAUUAAUAA
Bactrocera dorsalis (oriental fruit fly) is the source of this 4189-nucleotide long non-coding RNA. RefSeq lists it as uncharacterized. The transcript is spliced from 2 exons. Lineage: Eukaryota; Metazoa; Arthropoda; Insecta; Diptera; Tephritidae. The record is from RefSeq and is a predicted model, not a curated record.